RNAcentral lists this ribosomal RNA (465 nucleotides) under Vreelandella stevensii. RNAcentral's name for it is "partial 16S ribosomal RNA". It matches the Rfam family "Bacterial small subunit ribosomal RNA", at positions 338 to 795 of the family's 1533-position model. The record is from RNAcentral. Lineage: Bacteria; Pseudomonadati; Pseudomonadota; Gammaproteobacteria; Oceanospirillales; Halomonadaceae.
CCUACGGGGUGCAGCAGUGGGGAAUAUUGGACAAUGGGCGAAAGCCUGAUCCAGCCAUGCCGCGUGUGUGAAGAAGGCCUUCGGGUUGUAAAGCACUUUCAGUGGGGAAGAAAGCCUUGGGGCUAAUACCCUCGAGGAAGGACAUCACCCACAGAAGAAGCACCGGCUAACUCCGUGCCAGCAGCCGCGGUAAUACGGAGGGUGCGAGCGUUAAUCGGAAUUACUGGGCGUAAAGCGCGCGUAGGCGGUCUGAUAAGCCGGUUGUGAAAGCCCCGGGCUCAACCUGGGAACGGCAUCCGGACCUGUCAGGCUAGAGUGCAGGAGAGGAAGGUAGAAUUCCCGGUGUAGCGGUGAAAUGCGUAGAGAUCGGGAGGAAUACCAGUGGCGAAGGCGGCCUUCUGGACUGACACUGACGCUGAGGUGCGAAAGCGUGGGUAGCAAACAGGAUUAGAUACCCCUGUAGUC